This is a long non-coding RNA of Chroicocephalus ridibundus (black-headed gull), 379 nucleotides long. RefSeq lists it as uncharacterized. The record is from RefSeq and is a predicted model, not a curated record. Lineage: Eukaryota; Metazoa; Chordata; Aves; Charadriiformes; Laridae. The transcript has 3 exons.
CUGGGGGUCAGGCAGCUCCAAGGAAAUGCCCACUGGGAACAGCCAAUGAACUUACUGCUCAAGCAGACAUCACAGCCUGCCAGGUUUGUCCUAAUGGCUAUCUCAGCCUAGAGAGUGGAGCUGGGUGCCGUGCGUGUCCAGAUGGUUAUUCAUGUGAUCCACGUAGUGGUGUGCAGAGGAGCUGCAAUCCUGGUCAGUAUUCGCCAGAGGGAGAGUUGGAGUGUCGGGAAUGUCCAGAGAGAUACAUCUGCCCAGAUGGACGGAGCAGACAGCAUUGUUUGGCCGGUCAGCAGCCGAAUCCAAGCCGUACUCAUUGUGUAACCUGCACUCCUGGUUCUUUCUCAGCUGAAGACACUCUGCUGUGCCAGCCCUGUCCAGC